Lolium perenne is the source of this 3420-nucleotide long non-coding RNA. RefSeq lists it as uncharacterized. The record is from RefSeq and is a predicted model, not a curated record. NCBI's taxonomy places the organism in Eukaryota, Viridiplantae, Streptophyta, Magnoliopsida, Poales, Poaceae.
CCGAAGACCUCGCUCGCGAACUUGUGGAUUGUGCUUCUUGGGAUUAGAAGGUUCAGCCAUGGGUGUGGCACUUCCCAGAGGCCCUGAGCCCUGAGCUUCAGCUCGGAGGAGUGCACCCUGUCCAGGAACUCCAGCAAGAAAUAAUUAAUUCACCUGUUCCAUGAUGUCGGCCUCAUCAUCGUUGAAGUUCUUGGUCAUCUCUAGGCAGUAUAGCACUCUUCCGUCCGACUGGAAGUGGCUCGCCUGGACUGGGUCCUGCGGCUUGAAGGACGUCCUCCAGUUGUUGAGAAUGCCCGUCCUGUUGAUGGUCACGAACCCUUCGAUGUAGUCGAAUGUCUUCUCCGCCGAGAUCAGCGCCUCCUGGUCCUCGGUGAAGCUCGCGAAGUCCGAGUAGAGAACCCGUAUCCACCUCACCUGUCAUUGUGUAUCCAGUCAGUGAAUACAGCCGAAGAAAAUGAUCUAUGUGUGCAUUCAGAAGCUGAGAGCAAUGGAAUUGGUUAUCUGGUUAACUUACCAUCUUUGGUGCAGGCUGGAGAGCAAUCCUGGCUCUGGUGAUGAUGCCGAACUGGCCCAGGCCGCCGAGAGCGCCGUAGAAGAGGUCAGAGUUCUCCUCGGGCGAGCAGGAUUGGAGUGGGCCUGACACUGCAAUCAUGUGCUUUCCAUAUCUACAAACCAAAGAGGUAUUUAUACUACAAAGAUUAGUAUUUGCAUAACGAAAUCAACAACUUUAACUUUAAUUCCGCUACCACACCAAGAGAGACUGUUCGCCCGAGUUGGGGAAGAUGUAUGGCUUUGCCAGCCAGGGCUUCACCAUUGUCCUUGGUGGGUAGGGUGUCGGGUGCGUGUAUUUAUGCAUCUACAUUGUACGUCGUGUUUCUAAGAUAUGUGGAAAGGACACAUUAAACAAGGACAUUCUAUCAGUUCUACCAAAUCAUGUAUAGAUUUUUUUUUGUGACACUGUCAAAUUAUGCAACAAUUAUGGCUAACUUCACCACAUCUCAUCUACUCCGACAAAUUGGGGCCCGGGUACUUUGCCUACUACCUAGCUGCCACGUCAUCUAACAUGUCGGGUACAACUUCUCAAUUUAGUAAAAAAAUAGCAGAGGAUAAAGAUUUGCCACAAGGUAGCAAGUAAAGUGUAGUUAUUUUUUCUUCAAAAUGAAGUCAAAGUUGUCACUAUGUCAAAACUAGAAGGCUAGAAGGCAGCUGCGUUGAACACGUUCUUCUGAAACAUAGUUCUGAUGCGUGUGUAUGCUUGAUGGAAUGAUGGAACCGUGUGAUCACCCGUCGAAAUGUCGAAUGUAUAUGUUCACGGCCGGCCUAGCUUGCUUCGAGAACACGGCCACCGUAGGCUUCAACAAGUUGGGGCCAACCACUACACCAAGAAACGCAUGGCUGGAUCGCAACUCGUGCGCCAUCGAUCGUGUUGGCGACGACCACUUUUUGCACUUGUUGACCUUGACGGCUUCCAUUCGUGUCAAUGCCGUCCACACAAAUCACCCUCAAAAGACACGUGACCACACUUUUAUUUUUGCAUAGAUUUUUGGAUAUAUUUUUGUUUAUUUUACUGUCAGACGUCAAAAUGGUACUUUGGGACGAGAGGGUCAAAUUAUUAUAAUUGCAAUCCAAAUAGUAGCAAAGUACUUCAGCGGUAGUACAAAACGGUAGUACAAAGAUGCCCCCUCUUUCCGGAAAUAAGUGACUUGAAUAAAUAUAGAUUCGUAUGUAUCUGGUGAUGUGGAUUUAUCUAGAUUUUAAUCUAGAAAAAUCCGAGUCACUUAUUUUCCAUAGAGGAAGUAUAUUUUUAGGGCACCUCCAGCGGUCCGACGCAAACAAACCAUCUAGCCGAUCAGAAUUUGAGUAAAUCCCGAGUCUAGAGGCCCAACGCAAACUGACCGGCGUUAUAUGUAUUCCAUAUAUGAACAUCAACAAGUCCACCUGCUAAUCAACUCAGGGCAGCCAAGGACAGCGUACGCACCUCACCCGUUCACGUUCACAGCCCUCCCUCCCCUUGCAAUCCUAGAACAACGUCGCUGCUGCUCGCCAUUGGUGGCACCGUCUGUUUGGCCCGCAGGUCGACGGAGGACACUAUUAGUGCCAGCGUCGUGGAGUGCCCUUGCCGACCUUGUUGCAUCUCAUGCCCCUCCGCCAUCCACACGAAACCGUCUGCCGACAUCGAUGUCCAGAACAUGUUCGGCCAAUUGCUCGAUGCGAAAUCCUGAACUAUUUUUGGCCAUUUGCGGCGUGUAGGCAGGCCAUUGAUCCAUUAGUGCUCCCCCGCAGGUGUACCUUAAACAGUCAUUCGACUUCUUCAUCAAGGAAGUCAUCGACAGCUCGUCGGACGGCUCUUCGGAGAUAAUGGUUGGCGUGACCUCCCUCAUCCACAAUCACACUAAGAGGCAGAUGCCAGUGCAAAGGGGCUCGAUGAGGCCUCGCAGCUGCAACCUGUUCCGAGAUCGAGAAGGUGGCCACUAUGAGCCGUUUAGAACUACUUCCACCCCACCAAGGCGGUCUUCAUGGAGACCCUGUUUCGGCGGCGCUAUCGGAUGUCAAGAGACUUUUUCUUCACUAUUCUAUGGGGCGUGAGAGACUAUGACCCCUACUUCCGAUGCAAGUGCGCUCCCAUUGCUAAGCUAGGCUUCACCUUUUAUCGGAAUUGUUCCAACUAUUCGUAUGGUUUCGUACGGAGUGCCUGGUGAUCUCCUUGAUUAGUACUUGUGAAUGAGUGAGAUCACAUGCCUUGAUGCGAUGUACAAGUUCUACCGAGCUGUGAUUGCGGUGUUCGGCGAUCUUUACUUGAGAGGUCCAAUUGUUGCUGACACUGCUCGACUGUUGUCGAUCAACAAGGCAAGAUGAUUUCUGGGGAUAAUCGGAAGCAUAGAUUUCAUGCGCUGUGAGUGAAACAACUGUCCAUUUGCAUGGCAGUAGAAGUAUAGCGGGCAUGCCGAGGGGUGCACUGUUAUUCGUGAGUCAGUGGCAUCACAUGAUAUGUGGAGUUGGCACACUUUUUCUGUUGGUAUGUCCGGUUCCUACAAUGAUAUUAACGUGCUCCAUCGCUCGUCGGUAUUAUACAUACUUGUAGAAAGCAAUGCUCAUGUGGUCAGCUAUGAGAUCAAUGAAAAUGCAUAUAACAAGUCAUAUUAUAUUGUUGAUGGCAUCUAUCCGGACUGGAUCAUACUAGUGAAUAUAGUCUGUAAUCUUACAAUAGAGAAAAUAAAGAGAUUUGCCCAGACAAGAGGUUUGCGGGAAGGAUAUUAAGCAGGUAUUUGGUGUGCUGCAAGCUAGGUGGGCUAUUUUUGUCACUAUGCUAGAACAUGGAAUAUUCAGACCAUGCAUUAGGUGAUGACUACUUGUUUGACCAUGCACAAUAUGGUUGUUGAGUAAGAGCAUGAUGCCAACCUCCAUGACGAAGGAUAACAA